Paramuricea clavata is the source of this 201-nucleotide non-coding RNA. The record is from the annotation of a GenBank genome assembly. Lineage: Eukaryota; Metazoa; Cnidaria; Anthozoa; Malacalcyonacea; Plexauridae.
CAAAUAUACCGGUAUUACUAAACAACAGUGUUCUAGCGAUUUAUGGCCUUUAACCACAGCGAUUUAACCACAGCAUUUGGUUACUAAGGCGGUUGCUAUGGGCCAAUUUCAAUAUUAGGCAACUUUGAUUAAAAAAUUUACCCCUAAGAAACUCACAUACGACAAAAAUAUAAUGCUAGCAUGAAAGUGCAUAUGAUGGAG